This 453-nucleotide ribosomal RNA is filed under the name uncultured Sphingobacteriales bacterium. RNAcentral describes it as "bacterial SSU rRNA". It matches the Rfam family "Bacterial small subunit ribosomal RNA", at positions 924 to 1382 of the family's 1533-position model. Lineage: Bacteria; Pseudomonadati; Bacteroidota; Sphingobacteriia; Sphingobacteriales. The record is from RNAcentral.
CACAAGCGAGGAACAUGUGGUUUAAUUCGAUGAUACGCGAGGAACCUUACCUGGGCUUAAAUGUAGAUUGCAUGAGGUGGAAACACUUCUCCCUUCGGGCUAUUUACAAGGUGCUGCAUGGUUGUCGUCAGCUCGUGCCGUGAGGUGUCGGGUUAAGUCCCAUAACGAGCGCAACCCUUACCGUUAGUUGCCAUCGGGUCAAGCCGGGGACUCUAGCGGGACUGCCACCGUAAGGUGAGAGGAAGGUGGGAUGACGUCAAAUCAGCACGGCCCUUAUGUCCAGGGCUACACACGUGUUACAAUGGCCGGUACAGAGGGCAGCUACCUGGUGACAGGAUGCUAAUCCCGAAAGCCGGUCCCAGUUCGGAUUGGAGUCUGCAACUCGACUGCAUGAAGUUGGAAUCGCUAGUAAUCGCUGAUCAGCAGGCAGCGGUGAAUACGUUCCCGGGCCUU